UACGUAGGGUGCAAGCGUUGUCCGGAUUCAUUGGGUUUAAAGGGUGCGCAGGCGGGACAUUAAGUCAGGGGUGAAAGACGGUUGCUCAACAAUCGCAGUGCCUUUGAUACUGGUGUUCUUGGGUAACCUUGAGGUAGGCGGAAUGGGUGGUGUAGCGGUGAAAUGCAUAGAUACCACCCAGAACUCCGAUUGCGAAGGCAGACUACUGGAGGUCAACCGACGCUCAGGCACGAAAGCGUGGGGAUCAAACAGG
RNAcentral lists this ribosomal RNA (253 nucleotides) under uncultured bacterium. RNAcentral's name for it is "partial 16S ribosomal RNA". It matches the Rfam family "Bacterial small subunit ribosomal RNA", at positions 524 to 776 of the family's 1533-position model. The record is from RNAcentral.